CUGGGGCCAUUCUGGGGCCGUUUGUUGCCAUUUUAGGGCCGUUUAUUGCCAUUUUGGGGUCAUUUGGGGCCAUUUUAAGGCCAUUUGUUGCCAUUUGAGGCCGCUUAUUGCCAUUUGGUGCCCCCCGGGGCCAUUUUGGGGCCGUUUGUUGCCAUUUGGGGUCCCCUGGGGCCAUUUUGGGGCCGUUUUUUGUCACUUUAGGGCCGUUUGGUGCCGUUUGGGGCCAUUUUGGGGCCGUUUGUUGCCAUUUUGGGGCCGUUUGUUGCCAUUUGUUGCCGUUUUGGGCCAUUUGGGGCCAUUUUGGGGCGGUUUGUUGCCAUUUUUCGGGGUGACUCACGUUUGGGGGGGUGGCGCUGUGCGUGACGCUGGGGGCGCAGGCGCGGUUGGAGCCCGCGGGCGGCUCGGACCCGGAGACGCGGCGCUUCUUGCUCAGCGGGGGGCUGGACAUCUGGGGGGCGGGGCCAGAUGUUGGCCACGCCCCCUUUGACCACACCCCCUUUGGCCACACCCCUCGGGCCACACCCAUUGGCCGCCCCCCUUUUGGCCCCGCCCCCUCCCCCAGCCACCCCCCUCCCUCACCCCACUUGGCCCCGCCCCCUUCAUUAGGCCCCGCCCCCUUCUUUAAGACACGCCCCUGAUCCCAGGCCACGCCCCUGCCCUUAGGCCACGCCCCCUCCAUUAGGCCCCGCCCCCUGGGCAUAGAACACAUUCACUUAGGCCACGCCCCCAGGACACCCCACCCCUUUAAGCCACGCCCCCUCAGUGUUAGACCACGCCCCUUUGAUUAGGCCACGCCCCCUUUUAAAGAGCCCCGCCCCCUUUUGGACACUCCCCUGGAGCACACCAAAGGGGGCGUGGCCUCCCGCCAGGGGGCGUGGCCUCCCUCCAGGGGGCGGGGCCUCUCCACCAGGGGGCGGGGCCUCCCGCCAGGGGGCGGGGCCUCCCGGGUCCCAAUGGGGGUAAUUAACGGGGCAGCCAAUUAACGGGGCUGGAAGCGGGGGCGCUGGGGGGGGGGGGCUAAUUAGCGAGGGAUGUUAAUGGGGGCCUUAAUGGGGUCCCACUAAUGGGAGUUCAUUAACGGGGGUUCAUUAACGGGGGCUCAUUAACGAGGUCCCACUAAUUAUUAUAAUUAUUAUAAUUAUUAUAAUUAUUAUAAUUAACUGAUUAUUGGGGUCCCAUUAACAAGGCUCCCAUUAACAGGGACCAAUUAAUAGGGUCCCACUAAUGGGGGGCUCAUUAAUGGGAUCCCACUAACGGGCGUCUCGUUAACAGGGUCCCAUUAACGAGGGUCUCAUUAAUGGGAUCCCAUUAACAAGGUCUCCUUAACGAGGUCCUACUAAUGGGGGUCUCGUUAAUGGGGUCCCAUUAAUGAGGGGUCCCAGUCCCCAUUCCCAGGGGUCCCCAUUAAUAGGGUCCCUAAUUAAUAGGGUCCCUAAUUACUGACAGAUCCCAGACCCUAUUACCAGGGAGUCCCCAAUUAGUAGGGU
Molecule: long non-coding RNA, 1487 nt
Filed under: Anas platyrhynchos platyrhynchos (common mallard)
Lineage: Eukaryota; Metazoa; Chordata; Aves; Anseriformes; Anatidae
Description: lncRNA (ENSAPLG00000028623.1)
Source: RNAcentral